Molecule: ribosomal RNA, 497 nt
Filed under: uncultured bacterium
Lineage: Bacteria
Description: partial 16S ribosomal RNA
Rfam family: Bacterial small subunit ribosomal RNA
Source: RNAcentral
GACGAACGCUGGCGGCGUGCCUAAUACAUGCCAGUUGAGCGCUGAAGGUUGGUACUUGUACCAACUGGAUGAGCAGCGAACGGGUGGGUAACGCGUGGGGAAUCUGCCUUUGAGCGGGGGACAACAUUUGGAAACGAAUGCUAAUACCGCAUAAAAACUUUAAACACAAGUUUUAAGUUUGAAAGAUGCAAUUGCAUCACUCAAAGAUGAUCCCGCGUUGUAUUAGCUAGUUGGUGAGGUAAAGGCUCACCAAGGCGAUGAUACAUAGCCGACCUGAGAGGGUGAUCGGCCACAUUGGGACUGAGACACGGCCCAAACUCCUACGGGAGGCAGCAGUAGGGAAUCUUCGGCAAUGGACGAAAGUCUGACCGAGCAACGCCGCGUGAGUGAAGAAGGUUUUCGGAUCGUAAAACUCUGUUGGUAGAGAAGAACGUUGGUGAGAGUGGAAAGCUCAUCAAGUGACGGUAACUACCCAGAAAGGGACGGCUAACUACGUG